Molecule: non-coding RNA, 372 nt
Organism: Enterococcus mundtii
Lineage: Bacteria; Bacillati; Bacillota; Bacilli; Lactobacillales; Enterococcaceae
Source: Rfam
GUUUUCGGGUAAUCGCGGUCUGGCUUUGACCAGACUGAGGAAAGUCCAUGCUCGCACAGGCUGUGAUGCCUGUAGUGUUCGUGCUUAGCGAAAAAAUAAGCUAAGGUACUCUUUUUAGAGUAACGGCAGGAAAACAAGCUAAGGUUUCGGCUAUGCUUCAGUAUCCUUGAAAGUGCCACAGUGACGAAGCGAACGAGGAAACUUGUUCGGUGGAACGCGGUAAACCCCUCGAGCGAGCAACCCAAACAACGGUAGGGGCGCUUUUUGUCGGGGAAUCAGAACGAGACAAAAGGGCAGUUGAUCUGCAGAUAGAUGGUUACCGCUUUGUUUUUUCUCCCUGGAAAAACAAAGUACAGAACAUGGCUUAUAGAA